This 76-nucleotide transfer RNA is filed under the name Mycobacterium phage DuncansLeg. Its description in RNAcentral is "tRNA-Gln". It matches the Rfam family "tRNA". From Rfam's summary of the family: Transfer RNA (tRNA) molecules are approximately 80 nucleotides in length. Their secondary structure includes four short double-helical elements and three loops (D, anti-codon, and T loops). The record is from RNAcentral. Lineage: Duplodnaviria; Heunggongvirae; Uroviricota; Caudoviricetes; Vilmaviridae.
UGCCCGCUAGCACAAUUGGCAGUUGCGCUGCGCUCUGAACGCAGAGGUUCCAGGUUCGACUCCCUGGGUGGGCAGC